AACGCACAUUGCGCUCCCUGGUAUUCCGGGGAGCAUGCCUGUUCGAGCGUCAUUACACCACUCAAGCACUGCUUGGUAUUAGGCCAUCGUCCCCCGCAAGGUGGGCGUGCCUCAAACACCUCGGCGGAGCCUCACCGGCUUUGGGCGUAGUAGAAUUUCUCAACGUCUUAUAAGUACCGGUCUGACUCUUUUGCCGCUAAACACCAAACUUUUAAAGGUUGACCUCGGAUCAGGUAGGGAUACCCGCUGAACUUAA
RNAcentral lists this unclassified non-coding RNA (256 nucleotides) under Dothideomycetes sp. Its description in RNAcentral is "partial contains 5.8S ribosomal RNA, internal transcribed spacer 2, and large subunit ribosomal RNA". The stretch from base 1 to 52 matches the Rfam family "5.8S ribosomal RNA", at positions 103 to 154 of the family's 154-position model. RNAcentral also lists the same sequence under 2 other names. The record is from RNAcentral. Lineage: Eukaryota; Fungi; Ascomycota; Dothideomycetes.